GCCUGCAAGUGAACUUCCCAGUGGAAGUAGAUGUGAUGAAUGAGGUCAUCUUGGCCCGCGUGGGUUAUCAGGCCCGCCUCGUAUGCGUUGUGCAGGGACAGCCCAUCAAUGGCGCAUACUGGGCGGACAAGAACGGCAUCCGGAUAGAAAAUUCAUGGCAAUACAAAGUCACUACUGAGCAAGAGGAAGGUAUUCCUGUGGUAUUCAUAACCGCAACCUUCAAUGUUGGUACUCUGGGAAAACACGACUUUGGAAAUUACACAUGUGUCGGAGCCGGGAACAGCGGUGAAGCUACGAAAGUUACCCAACUGGUUGAGGUAUAAGUAAAGACAGCCAGUGGCGUAAUAAACUACAAUUUAAAGAGGAAAUAUUUCAAAUUCACGUGUGAAUAGUGUUCGUCUACUUUAUUGACAUGAACGAAAAAAAAACAACCGUAGACUAUUGGAAAUGUACUGAAACACCAAUACAAGUAAUAAUUAAAAAAAAACUGAAAUAUAAUUUAUGAUUUCUAUGUAAUAAUGUAUAGUGUUUAUGAUCAUGUUGAUUUAUAAAUAGGGAUAUUGACACAAUCAUGUAACCGGACACAUUUUUAAAUCAAUGUUAAGAUGAUUUUUUUUAUAUAAGAUUUUAAGAGACAGCACAUCUAUGAACAAAUAUGACAUUUAAGUUUAGUUUAACAUUUUAAAGAUUUCCACUUUAUCGUUUAAUUAACCGUUUACAAUUAGAAUAAUGCCGUUUAAUUUUUGUAACGUGUUGCAUCCUUACUUGUAAAACAUGACCUUGUUAAAUUUAUUGUAUUCUCUGUUUCAACACUUUUCUAAAUAAUUUUCUUUUCUGCUUACCGCUUUCUUCUUUCAUGAUUAUUGUGGUGUAUAAAAACGACAUGCCAUCUUGUGCAAAUGUAUAAAGAAUUAACUAAAAUAAAAGUUGUUAAGCAAUAAA
Long non-coding RNA from Dreissena polymorpha, 942 nucleotides. RefSeq lists it as uncharacterized. The transcript is spliced from 4 exons. NCBI's taxonomy places the organism in Eukaryota, Metazoa, Mollusca, Bivalvia, Myida, Dreissenidae. The record is from RefSeq and is a predicted model, not a curated record.